UCUCUCUCUUUCUAUAACCAUGCUCCUCCAUGUUUCCGACUUCUUUUAAUAUUUUAAUUGAAGGGCUUCAAUGCUGUUGCUGAUAAUCUGGCUUACUCGGCUAUUUCUCUUCCAGUUGGAGAAAUUUGUGAGGAUUGUGGGCCAUUUAACUAAAUAUAGCGAGUACAAGCUGCCUAGCAACAUUUUCCCCCCCUAUUUGCUGUUCUUUAAUUAUUAUUAGUCAGGUAUUGUAAAUGUAUAUUUUUCUUUUGGAUAACUUAUAAACAGAUAUCAUCUGCUGGCUUUGCAGCUUA
Phalaenopsis equestris is the source of this 293-nucleotide long non-coding RNA. RefSeq lists it as uncharacterized. Lineage: Eukaryota; Viridiplantae; Streptophyta; Magnoliopsida; Asparagales; Orchidaceae. The transcript has 2 exons. The record is from RefSeq and is a predicted model, not a curated record.